AAAAAAAAAAAAAAAAAAUUCUAAACAGUCAUACAGUUGUAUUAGGACAAAUGGGAAUAUCACUGAUGGAUAGACAGAGCGUUCCUAUUAUUUAAUGAUGGAAAACAAGGUCUGCAAGAAAGUGAGAAUCAAAAUUAUUGCAGCAACAAUCUGAGAAGCAAUUGCCCAAGGAGUACCAAAAUAGUUGUGCAUAUAAGCAGUACGCCAUCUAGGCCAUCUGCGUUGGCGAUAUUUAUGCACUUCUUUACAGAGCCCCAGAUAGUAAAACUUUUUCACAUAAGCAUCUAGGUAGAGCUUGCUGAAGAACUGGGUUGCAUCCUCCGGAUUCAGCCAACUAUCUAUGAUCUCUUUUUUGCAGAGAAUUUGAACAUCUUUUGUAGUGUUGAUGAGGUUAUCAAGAACAAUGGCGUAACAAGUGAUGAUAGGAGAGCAUUCUGGGGAACACUGCUCGUAGCUGAUGAGGUUCCUGAAGAUAGUUUCUGUUGUCUCCUGAAUCAACAAAUUUGGGAUUUCAAGAACGCCGUUUGUAAAUCUAAUGUCCAAGAUGCUUGUAGCACCUUCCAGCUUCUUGAAUUUGAUUCCAGAUUCUGCGAUUUCAGUUGCAGAAGGAAAGGUUUGCCAUUCUGAAGAUUCUAAGCUGUCCUUGCGCUGAAUAAUUGGUGCAACUAACCAGUUCCUUAAAAGGUCAAGGAUAUGCUUACUUUCGGCGAGCUGGUUUGGAUCUACAGGAGAUGGAGUAGAUGAGAACAUAUUGGCAAAGAAUUCGAUUGCAAGUUGAACCAGGGGCUUUGUAUCAUUAUCAUCGCUGGUCAUGUUGAACAAGCAAUCAAGCACUAACCAAGGUAUUUGAUUUUCUAGCAAAAUCAAGUCAUGAUACAGAAAUUGAAGCAAGCAAGACAUGUUGAAUAUUGGGUCAUCUUGGUCUUGACGCUCCCUUUCGCCAUCUUUACGAAAGAGCUCAAUAAGGAAGCAACCAUCAACAACCAACAUUUUCACAAAUUCUUCCCGUUUAUAAGUUACUUGUCCAGCAUAACACAGACGAACCUUGUCUUCAAUUUUCAUGAUUUCUCCGAUGAAUUCCCUCAUUCUUUUCUCCGGAUUUUGUGCUCUAGAGAUGAGGCCUCGCAAAUACUUGAAUUUAAUUUUCUCAGUACGUUUAAGAUUUUCUUGGCCAUAGUGUAAUGGCCCAAUGGCAAACGCAUUGGGAACGUAAGCUUUUGCAUUAUGCCUGGAGAGUAUUUUAGGCGUUUCGAAGAUGCAACAAUUAGGAGACAUGUAUAAAUCAUCAGAAACUACAUUUUCUAAGAAAGCUGCUAUUUCUUCUAUAUUAAUUGCUACAUUCUCUGCCAUGAUAAUACCUUACACCUCUGUUUAAUCUUCCUUGCUUUUGUCUUUAAUCAAUCUUACAGGCUCAGUUCUAUUCAUAGAAGCGGGAAAAGGUAUAAGAUAACUACAUAAAAUGUGCAAAAGAAAUUCAAGAACUUGCUCUAAUGCUGUUUGUGAGAUAAUGAAGAUCUAAAAAUCAAAUGUGAUAUUGUUGAAUGGUGGAGAGCAUGAUCAUUUAAUAGAACUGAUACUGUAAAUCCAAUGUCAUUUCAAAAACAAUGAAAUUAGCCCAUUUCAGAAGAAACAAAAUUCACUUACUUGGCAAGGUCUGUUGCAGUAGAAGACCAAGGGGAUGAUGUAUCCAAGCUGAAGGUAGCAGGAAAGUGUGCUCACUGCAAUUCUUUUGGAUUACUAGGCAAAGCAUUCAUACAUCUACAAAUGGUAAGCUUGACAACAAAUAUAACAAGAUGUGAAUCCAAAAACUCGAAGGUUGCUUGAAUUUUGAGGUUUACUUUAUUCUGCCUUCUUGUCAUGGUGUAGGCAUCUUUUGUUAAGUAGCGUGCAUCAACAGCAAAGUGAGCAGCUUUUAUCAUAAUAAAAUUAAUCAAUGGUAAUUUUUUUUUAAAUAAAUUUAUUAUGUGAUAAAGCUAUCUAUAGAUUAUUAACAAUAAAUAAUGCUAGGUCAUCUAUAAUGUUCAUAUUUAUUCUCAAAAGAAACUAAUUAUUUACAAUAAAUAUGUAGAGAAGGUUAACAAUAAGUUUAUUAUUUUAUUUUUAUUCUUUUUUUAUUUGUAGAAUAUAAUUUAUAAUAUUUAUUUGACAUUAAUAAUCACAUAAUAAGAAUGACAUUCAAUUAUUAUCAACCAUUUUCAACCAGUCAUCCCUCAUCUCACUGAUCGUUAAAAAGACAGAUCAAAAAUAUCUACAAUUGCAAAUAGUCCCUUGUAUUAAGAGAAUUAAAGAGAUUAAGUACGCGAUUGGUUCAUUGUAAUUCUAAAUUUUAGCAAUCACACUCUAAAUUGAUUUUUUCAAUUAAUAAAUAGAAUUUAAAGAUAAUUUAUAAUACCUGACUGAAAAAAGGGUUCUGGUUCUGGAGACCUUUAUUCCCACUCCAGUUGCCCUUCUCUUGGAGCAUAAUGGCUUGGCUUAUAUAGAGAAUAUAAAGAAGUGCUCAGCACCCAAUAAAACUUUAUGGCAAAAUUGACUUAUCGACAAGAAUGAAUUAAAGCAAGUUCUCUGCAACACUUCAUCCGUUGCUUCGGAUGUCAAUUGAUCUCCAACGUUAUAUCAAAUGCCCCAAACAAUAUUAACUUCCUCCUGGUAUACACAAAAAACCUAGCUCUGUGUUUGAUGGGAUGGUUACAUAACGACCAAGUAUCUUCAUUAUCAGUUAAAAAAAUGUGGGAAAAAAAAGAAGAAAAGAAAAAUAUGAUCAUGGUAUCAUUGAACAUUUUUACUUUUCCUGCAAAAUAAAACAAAUAAAAAUAAAAAUAUAAAGAACUAAAGUUUCGCCAAAUAAGGAAGGCUUCGAAGAAGAUAACCAUCACAUUCUUCUCUAGAUUACAUUAACCUUGCAUUUUCAUCUUUCAGCAAUAAUAUACAGCAGGACUAGAUAGAGGGACAAUUCUUUCCAUAGUGGAAAUCCUACUUAAUUAUGAUAAAUAAGGCCUGCAAACAGUGAGAAUCAAGAAGGUAUCAGCCACAACUUGAGAAUCAAUCAACAAGGUAUCGCCAUCUCAUCCAUUGUCAGUGGCAAUAUUCACUCACCUUCAGGUCUUCUUCACAUAGGCGUCAUGGAUAGUGGAUAACCAUCAUUUACCUUUUUAUUUAGAAGAACAAAAUAGCAGCUUCAGGAGCUAGGAUUGCAAAAACUUAUAUUAAUCAUAUCUCUCUCGACAACAUUAUCCAAAUAUGCCCCUCUACACAGAUAUAUAAUCAAAAGGGAGAAGGAAUGAGGUCUACACAUGCCUAUUUAUUUCAUGAUGGUAAACAAUGUCUGCAGCAGGGCCAAAAUGAAGAGGAAGCCUGCAACAACCUGCGAGAUGAUCGCCCAUGGAGUGGUGAAUUCAUUGCGAUAAAUUGCCCGCAACCUAGGCCAGCUGCGUUUGCAAUACUCAUUCACUUGCUCGCUAAGCUCAAGAUAGUAGUAAUCCUUGACAUAAGCACCAGGGUAGAUUGCCUUAUUGAAGAAAUUGGUGACAUCCUCAGGAUUCAUCCAGUUAUCAAAGAUUCCAGCCUCACGGAGUAAAUUGAAGUCCAUGGCAGUGUUGAUGAGGCAUCCCAUAAGUGCCACAUAAGAAGUAAUUCCAUGGGGGCAGUUGCUCAAACACUGCUCCAAGCAGAUUAAGUUCUGAAAGAUAGCUUCUGUCCCUUGUCGAAAUUCAAGAGGGGGGAUUUCCAGAUAGCCAUUUCGAAAUGUUACCUGCAAAAUGCUGUCAGCCUUUGAUUUUCUUCUGAGUUUGACUCCAGCCUUCCGAAGAAAUGUUGCAGGAGGAAUGGGUUUCCAUCCCCCAUUUGUUUCUAUGUCAUCUACUUGCACAACUGUAUUUUGCCCUUUUGCUUCUUCAAUUGGAAAAACCAGCCAUAACCUUAAGAGAUCAAGAAUAUGCUUGGGCUGUUGGCUGGGUGGAUUUCCCCCAGUUGGCACAAAUGCACUUGGGAAAAUUCGUUUAAGAAGUGCACUAACAUGCCAAAUAAGUGGCUUUCCAUUGUUCCCACAUGUCCUAACAAAAAUAUCUUCAAGCACAAACCAAGGUAUUUGGUUUUCUAGCAAUAUCAAGUCAUGGUAUAGAAAAUGGAGCAUAUAAGAGAAAACCGGGUCAUCAGGAUCCCUACGGUUCUGAUCCUGGAACUUAAGGAGCAAUUCAAUGAUAAAGCAACCAUCAAGUAAAAGAUGACAACCAUCAUAACCCUGAUCCACAUGGCUGGAAUAACACUCCUGAACCUUCUUCCCAUUAACCUUAACUGAGAACAAUUCAGCUUUAGACAACUCCAACUGCUUCCAUGUAGCCAGUGGGUUCCUGUCUUUAGAAAUGAGGUCUCGCAGAUACCGUGUUUUCAAUUUAUCAUAGGCACGCAGUUUUGGAUUGCUGUAAUGCCAGGGCCCAAUUGAGAAUGUUAUGGGAACAUAGGAUUUUUCAUUUUGGCUACGAGGAAUGUCAGGGAUUUUGAAGAUGCAUCCUGUCAUUGAUGUUGACAAAUCUAGGCUCAUGAAAUUUUCAAUAUCACUGGAGUUCACAUCAGUGUUGACCAAGCGCAAGAUGCAAUUUCGAUACGUAUUGUCAAUUGUAAUUUCCAUAUAAGCACAAUUGUUUAAAAACAAUUAAAAGAUAAUAAUUAUAAAACCUAAAAAGAGUGAAAUAAACGACAAUCAAUUUCCCAAUUCCUAUCCCUAAUCCGAAUGGACACUCUAAUUUUUCUUUGAGUUGGUCCUUUUUCUUAAACUAAUCAGUAAUUACCAUCAAGAUCAAAAUUUUGUAAGAAACAAAUAUCGCAAAUCAAGUAGAAAAACAUGUAAGUAGAUAUAUAGAGAAAUUUUUCUUUUCAUUUCAAGCAUUUCAAAUUUUUUAACUAACAGCCACAAAUGUAACUGUAAAUUCUAGAGAGAGAAGUAAAAAAAAAAAAUGCAACUAUGCUUACAACUUCUGAUUUUGAUGGUCAAGCCUAGGUAGAUAUGACUUCAAGUCUGCAAUAAAAAUUAAUAAUUUAAAGCUGUUAAAUGUAAUUUUGAACAGAGAUGAAAAUUUUUAUUUCAUAAACAACACCCAUUGCAGAAACAAGUUGCAAACCAUAAAUUUGCAAGUACUAAAGCUAUUGAUGGAUACAAAAGCUAUUGAUGGACUUCGAUCUAAAGCAUUGAUGAACCUCCCUAAAGAAAAGAGAAAGAAGAUUUUGGGUUAAUUGGGUGCAUGAAGAGCAUCGCAAAAAGAGGUAUAAAUAGGUUGAUGGAUAUGCAGAACGUGUGAAGCAGCGUGUUGUGACUUGACCAAGCAGUAGCGAAGGAGGGAGGUUAUUUCGCAAAUAAUAGAUGGGAAGCUUGGCUUUUACAUCAUGGAUGGGGCACGCAGAAGGAAGGAAUCAACGAAGAAAGGACCUUUUUUGGACCUUUUACAGUAGAAUAAGGAGUCAACGAACAAAGGAUCAGUAUCCAAAAAAAUGUACACUCGAAUACUUCAUUGUAAGCAAAGAUAGACUAUCGAGGCAGUAAAUUAAACCCCUUAAACCAUAAAUAAUAAAUUGAUCCCCUACACAAAGACAGAGAAGCAAUUCUAAAUUUGUUGAGAGAGAAAAAUCCCUAGGAGACCCAUUAGCGAAGAAGAAGAGAAAAGAAAAAACCUAUAGAUUGGCGUGUUAAAGCAGAUAACGUCUUAGAUUAAGCAAAUUGAACUCAAGUUUCCAUUAAUUGGGUUGGGCAAGUAAUGGACAUACCUCAUGCUCAGCUCACGAAACGCCUCGCAGUUUCAGAUCCUAUUUUGCUGAUUUUUGC
Molecule: unclassified non-coding RNA, 5812 nt
Filed under: Hevea brasiliensis (rubber tree)
Lineage: Eukaryota; Viridiplantae; Streptophyta; Magnoliopsida; Malpighiales; Euphorbiaceae
Source: RNAcentral